Molecule: ribosomal RNA, 480 nt
Filed under: Dialister invisus
Lineage: Bacteria; Bacillati; Bacillota; Negativicutes; Veillonellales; Veillonellaceae
Description: bacterial SSU rRNA
Rfam family: Bacterial small subunit ribosomal RNA
Source: RNAcentral
GACGAACGCUGGCGGCGUGCUUAACACAUGCAAGUCGAACGAAAAGACGGAAAGAGCUUGCUCUUUACAGAAUUGAGUGGCAAACGGGUGAGUAACACGUAAACAACCUGCCUUCAGGAUGGGGACAACAGACGGAAACGACUGCUAAUACCGAAUAAGUUCCAAGGGCCGCAUGGCCCAUGGAAGAAAAGGUGGCCUCUACCUGUAAGCUAUCGCCUGAAGAGGGGUUUGCGUCUGAUUAGCUGGUUGGAGGGGUAACGGCCCACCAAGGCGACGAUCAGUAGCCGGUCUGAGAGGAUGAACGGCCACACUGGAACUGAGACACGGUCCAGACUCCUACGGGAGGCAGCAGUGGGGAAUCUUCCGCAAUGGGCGAAAGCCUGACGGAGCAACGCCGCGUGAGUGAUGACGGCCUUCGGGUUGUAAAACUCUGUGAUCCGGGACGAAAAGGCAGAGUGCGAAGAACAAACUGCAUUGGCG